Long non-coding RNA from Phoenix dactylifera (date palm), 766 nucleotides. RefSeq lists it as uncharacterized. NCBI's taxonomy places the organism in Eukaryota, Viridiplantae, Streptophyta, Magnoliopsida, Arecales, Arecaceae. The record is from RefSeq and is a predicted model, not a curated record.
AUAAAUACAAAAUACCACAUGAAUCCUUCCAUUUCCCGUAGUUCUUGUCUUGGUUUCUUCUACAGUUUUUUCAGUGAGGAAUUCCCUGAAACUGUUCUCAGGGGGACUCCAUCGUCGAUAUGGUUGCCAUGAAGCUGCAUGCUUUAGUAAUGGCAGCUUUCAUGUUUUCAGUCCCUGGAAACAUGGGCCGAGACCAGAUCAUGGCAGAUUUACCCCAACAAACAUACCAUAGGAUGAGCAAAGGCAGGACUGUGGAUGAAGUUGUGGCUUGCCUUUUGCUUCUUGUUGCUCUUGUUGGUUCAUACCUUUUACAUUGAUGUGGCUUCUUGGCAUUCGAGUAUCUAGGACACUUUUUCUUUUUUCUCUUGGUAUAUUAGGGACAUCCCUUCAUGUUCUGUUCAUGAUUGCAAAUUUCUGGAGAUUUAUUGUCCUCCAAACUAGUGUUGAACCAUGUGCCAUGCCCAUGAGAUGGAGAUUUUUAUUUGCUAAAUCGCGUGUUUGGGGGGUUUUAGGGUCGCGAUAAGUCCCUUCAGACGUUUUCAUUGGCCCUUUUUUGAUUGAUUCUUAUUGAGGAUCCGAUGCUACGGCUAUGUUCUCCUCUAAUUCGUCAUUUUUCUUUCUAAAUUACUGUAUUACUGAAUGAGUAGCAUUAUUUUGUUCUGGUUGGAGCCAAGUCUGCAAGUUGCUCCCACUUAUCAGAGAAUAUUUUUACCACUAACUUAUGUACCUUUGGCAGAUCAGUUAAUUGCAUGGGGUGUUUUGUUUA